GACGAACGCUGGCGGCGUGCUUAACACAUGCAAGUCGAACGGAAAGGCCCUGCUUUUGUGGGGUGCUCGAGUGGCGAACGGGUGAGUAACACGUGAGUAACCUGCCCUUGACUUUGGGAUAACUUCAGGAAACUGGGGCUAAUACCGGAUAGGAGCUCCUGCUGCAUGGUGGGGGUUGGAAAGUUUCGGCGGUUGGGGAUGGGCUCGCGGCUUAUCAGCUUGUUGGUGGGGUAGUGGCUUACCAAGGCUUUGACGGGUAGCCGGCCUGAGAGGGUGACCGGCCAUAGUGGGACGGGAAAACGGCCAAGACCCCUAGGGGGGGAAGAAGGGGGGAAAAUUGCAAAAUGGGGGGAAGCGUGAGGCAGAAACGCCGGGGGGGGGAGGAGGGCCUUGGGGUUGAAAACCGCUUUCGCCUGGGACGAAGGGGGAGGGACGGGAAGGGGAAAAAAAGCACCGGCAAACUACG
RNAcentral lists this ribosomal RNA (466 nucleotides) under uncultured bacterium. Its description in RNAcentral is "partial 16S ribosomal RNA". It matches the Rfam family "Bacterial small subunit ribosomal RNA", at positions 28 to 505 of the family's 1533-position model. The record is from RNAcentral.